RNAcentral lists this transfer RNA (77 nucleotides) under candidate division WWE3 bacterium CG08_land_8_20_14_0_20_43_13. RNAcentral's name for it is "tRNA-Ala". It matches the Rfam family "tRNA". From Rfam's summary of the family: Transfer RNA (tRNA) molecules are approximately 80 nucleotides in length. Their secondary structure includes four short double-helical elements and three loops (D, anti-codon, and T loops). Further hydrogen bonds mediate the characteristic L-shaped molecular structure. tRNAs have two regions of fundamental functional importance: the anti-codon, which is responsible for specific mRNA codon recognition, and the 3' end, to which the tRNAs corresponding amino acid is attached (by aminoacyl-tRNA synthetases). tRNAs cope with the degeneracy of the genetic code in two manners: having more than one tRNA (with a specific anti-codon) for a particular amino acid; and 'wobble' base-pairing, i.e. permitting non-standard base-pairing at the 3rd anti-codon position. The record is from RNAcentral. Lineage: Bacteria; candidate division WWE3. RNAcentral also lists the same sequence under 1 other name.
GGGCCGUUAGCACAGUUUGGUAAUGCGCCGCAUUCGCAUUGCGGAGAUCGGCGGUUCGAAUCCGCCACGGUCCACCA